GACGAACGCUGGCGGCGUGCUUAACACAUGCAAGUCGAACGGAAAGGCCCUGCUUUUGUGGGGUGCUCGAGUGGCGAACGGGUGAGUAACACGUGAGUAACCUGCCCUUGACUUUGGGAUAACUUCAGGAAACUGGUGCUAAUACCGGAUAGGAGCUCCUGCUGCAUGGUGGGGGUUGGACAGUUUCGGCGGUUGGGGAUGGACUCGCGGCUUAUCAGCUUGUUGGUUGGGUAGUUGCUUACCAAGGCUUUGGCGGGUGGCCGGCCUGGGAGGGUGACCGGCCACAUUGCGACUGAGAUACGGAGCAGACUCCAACGGGAGGCAGCAGUGGGGAAUAUUGCACAAUGGGCGGAAGCCUGAUGCAGCAACGCCGCGUGCGGGAUGACGGCCUUCGGGUUGUAAACCGCAUUCGCCUGUGACGAAGCGUGAGUGACGGUAAUGGGUAAAGAAGCACCGGCUAACUACGUG
Molecule: ribosomal RNA, 468 nt
Filed under: uncultured bacterium
Lineage: Bacteria
Description: partial 16S ribosomal RNA
Rfam family: Bacterial small subunit ribosomal RNA
Source: RNAcentral